AGUAAAAAGCCUCUUCCUCAAUCUCUAUGACCUGCCUUCUUUUUCCAGUGCUGCCUCUCACAGGUUAUCCAUCUAUAAUUGAGUUGCUAGUAAUAACCUUCAAUUAUUCAGUUAAUCACGUUUCCUCUAUGUAUGUGACUCAGUUUUCCAGGUGUAUUCCACAUUGUCUCUACUAGUGAACUAGGAUAAUCCAUUGUGUAUCUCAACCUCCUUCACUACCCUGUGAAAGUCACAUGUGAGAAGAAGCAUCACAGAUGAUUCCAUGGAGAACAUCCUGGAAGUUCUCCAAAUGAACUGGAAAUUCCCUGUCUCCCCUUAACCAGCACUGGAAGCAGAUGGGAAGAGAAUAGCUGUGACUGACUCACACUCUAACCCAGCAACCCUCAGCAUACAAGUGGGAGACCAUAAAGUUUUUCAAGACCCCAAAAGAGGCCAAAGGUCUGAUAAUUGCUGGGAGAAGGUCCACUAUCCAAGAAGAGAAGAGGAAAAGGAAUUAAAGUCUCCAAGCACUGGGGAUGCAAGAAGAGAGUUGCACAGGAGAGAAAGAAGAAGUUGUCCACGGGGUGACCCUGCAAUUGGAGGGAAAUGCAUGUGGAUAUGUGCAGGGAGUCUAGGAAGUGAAGCCUUAGUGAUCAUUUACAAGAAUGAGGGUUAGGUAAAAUAAGGGAUGCAAAGCCACCUGUAGUCUAUUCUAACCUCACUCCAUCACUCUAUACAAUCUGUGUUUUAUCAUCUGAAAUGUUAAGUAAAGACCUGUUUGGGUCUUCUUCAGAAUCCCAUACAUUUGAGUUCAUUAGUCAGAAAAAGGGAAAAUACCACCACCCCAUCCUGGAAUGGCAGUCAUGUACACUUUUAUAAUGAGAGAUUGGGCAGCAAAGGGGGCCCCUUGUGGACCUCACCCAGCCAGAGAAGGAGGCAGAAUGUUUCCUUUACUAUCUUUUCCUCUCCCCAGAGGAACACUACAUAUUGUUCCCUCCAUGGGCUUAAGAGAAGGUGCCAGGGUUACAGAUAGAUAUAUCGCUAGCUGUAGAGCACAGGGUGAAUUGGGAUGUCCAUGUACAAAGCUAGGGACAGGAGAAUCAGUUUAAAGACUUUAAAAAUAAUUAGGAAAAAAAGGAAGGCCUGACCCAAAGCUUAGGAGUGCAGGUAGAGAAGAGAUGGUGCCAUGAUAUACCAUGUCUCUGGGACUUUUCUGUAUUCCUCUUCCUCUGUAUACUGUAUUGCCCUCAUUCCCUAUUUAUUCAAAAUCUGUGCUACCUCCACUGCGAAGACUUCCACGAGAAAAUUCAGAUAUUUCUUCUUUUGUGGACACUUUCUACCUUACAAAUAAGUUAAUUUUAAUUCAAGGAAGAGUUUUUCCGGAACCCUGUUGGCCUGCUCACAGGAAUAAAGACAUGUGCAUUCAAGAGGAAAGCAGAAAAGUCUCUGGGUAGGCAGGACCCAGGUGGUCUGGAUGGCAGAAACUGUUCUGAAGGGCUGUUUGGAGAUAAGAAUAUAGUAAUAUACAAGUAUGUCCCAUAUGAUUUGUAAGAAUAUUAUUUUUUGGGGAAAAGCUGGAAGGAUUCCCCUUGAAAACUGGCCCAAGACAAGGAUGCCCUCUCUCACCACUCCUAUUCAACAUAGUAUUGGAAGUUCUUGCCAGGGCAAUCAGACAAGAGAAAGAAAUAAAGUGCAUCCAAAUAGGAAGAGAGGAAGUCCAAUUAUCCCUGUUUGCAGGCAACAUCAUUCUAUGUCUAGAAAACCCCAUAGUUGUGGCCCAAAAGCUCCUUAAGCUGAUAAACAACUUCAGCAAAGUUUCAGGAUAUAAAACCAAUGAAUGAAAAUCACUAGUAUUCCUGUACAUCAACAACAGCCAAGCUGAGAGCCAAAUCAGGAACGCAAUUUCAUUCACAAUUGCUACAAAAAAGAAUAAAA
Homo sapiens (human) is the source of this 1914-nucleotide long non-coding RNA. Ensembl annotates it as long intergenic non-protein coding RNA 491. NCBI's taxonomy places the organism in Eukaryota, Metazoa, Chordata, Mammalia, Primates, Hominidae. The record is from Ensembl.